UACGAACCGUGCGAACGUUGUUCGGAUUCACUGGGCUUAAAGGGCGCGUAGGCGGGCGAUCAAGUCAGGGGUGAAAUCUUUCGGCUCAACCGGAAAAGGGCCUUUGAUACUGGUCGCCUCGAGGGAGGUAGGGGCAUGCGGAACUUCCGGUGGAGCGGUGAAAUGCGUAGAUAUCGGAAGGAACGCCGGUGGCGAAAGCGGCGUGCUGGACCUCUUCUGACGCUGAGGCGCGAAAGCCAGGGGAGCGAACGGG
Molecule: ribosomal RNA, 253 nt
Filed under: uncultured bacterium
Lineage: Bacteria
Description: partial 16S ribosomal RNA
Rfam family: Bacterial small subunit ribosomal RNA
Source: RNAcentral